RNAcentral lists this ribosomal RNA (468 nucleotides) under uncultured bacterium. Its description in RNAcentral is "partial 16S ribosomal RNA". It matches the Rfam family "Bacterial small subunit ribosomal RNA", at positions 28 to 507 of the family's 1533-position model. The record is from RNAcentral.
GACGAACGCUGGCGGCGUGCUUAACACAUGCAAGUCGAACGGAAAGGCCCUGCUUUUGUGGGGUGCUCGAGUGGCGAACGGGUGAGUAACACGUGAGUAACCUGCCCUUGACUUUGGGAUAACUUCAGGAAACUGGGGCUAAUACCGGAUAGGAGCUCCUGCUGCAUGGUGGGGGUUGGAAAGUUUCGGCGGUUGGGGAUGGACUCGCGGCUUAUCAGCUUGUUGGGGGGGUAGUGGCUUACCAAGGCUUUGAAGGGUAGCCGGCCUGAGAGGGUGACCGGCCACAUUGGGACUGAGAUACGGCCCAGACUCCUACGGGAGGCAGCAGUGGGGAAUAUUGCACAAUGGGCGGAAGCCUGAUGCAGCAACGCCGCGUGCGGGAUGACGGCCUUCGGGUUGUAAACCGCUUUCGCCUGUGACGAAGCGUGAGUGACGGUAAUGGGUAAAGAAGCACCGGCUAACUACGUG